UGAGAGGAGAAACUUUAUGCCACCACCUUUACAUUUAGAGUGUCUUGGGUUGUGGGUAAGUUGAAGACCACCAAAGGAUAAAGAUGCAGGGGUAGCAGUGUCACAGGGGGAGAGCCAUGUUUCUGUUAAGGCAAGUAAAUCUAGGGAACGAGAGAUGAAGAGGUCGUGGACAGUAGUGGAUUUUGUAAUAUUGCAAACAGAGCGUGCAUUCCAGAGGGCAGUAUUGAAGGAGGAUUUAGAUGAAGAGUAACAUGAGAUUGGUGUGGUUCCUUGAGUUGGUACAGGGUGAGUUUGCCGAGAUGGGACCGGGGUUUGGAGAGACAUCACCAGCUGCUAGGAGCAGAAGGCCUUCCAGAGAUGAUACCUCAGCUUAGAAGAUUCUGCAGGACUUGGUUGCUUGUGCGUGC
Non-coding RNA from Pelobates cultripes (western spadefoot toad), 407 nucleotides. The record is from the annotation of a GenBank genome assembly. NCBI's taxonomy places the organism in Eukaryota, Metazoa, Chordata, Amphibia, Anura, Pelobatidae.